AAGUCCAAAUAUUGAAGUAAUUUUAUAAUUUAUUGACGAUGAAAUAUUUCAGUCUUCAGACACUUAUAUACAAUAUACAACUAUACGAGAGUACCUAUUGUACUUAAAUAUUAAACGGUUAUAAUAUAUAAUACAUAAACCGGGUGUCUGAACCCGGCUGAUGUAUAGACGUAUAGACGCGAUUCAAGUUAAAUUCUCCAAUCGUUAUGAUAGAAUAAUAGCGUUGAAUAUUUAAAAUAUCGGUAAAAAUCGACAUAUAUACUAACACAAAUAAUGUGCUUACCUUUACGUUUGAUAACAGAUUAAGUUAUUAUAAAAUCAAAACCAUAGGUGCAACUAGAAGGGGGGGCUAUGUCCCUUCAGUUUUCUAAAUGUUACGACCCUGUGACGACAAAUAUAGUUACUUCGAUAUAUUCUUAUUUUAUAAUAAUUGUUUGUAUUUGU
Cinara cedri is the source of this 444-nucleotide non-coding RNA. NCBI's taxonomy places the organism in Eukaryota, Metazoa, Arthropoda, Insecta, Hemiptera, Aphididae. The record is from the annotation of a GenBank genome assembly.